RNAcentral lists this unclassified non-coding RNA (23 nucleotides) under Mus musculus (house mouse). RNAcentral's name for it is "oocyte_clustered_small_RNA4787". The record is from RNAcentral. Lineage: Eukaryota; Metazoa; Chordata; Mammalia; Rodentia; Muridae.
UGCAAUUUGCGCGUACACUGCAA